Molecule: long non-coding RNA, 2353 nt
Organism: Equus quagga
Lineage: Eukaryota; Metazoa; Chordata; Mammalia; Perissodactyla; Equidae
Exons: 3
Source: RefSeq, a predicted model, not a curated record
CGGCCUCUGACACCCUGUCAGGGGUCGGUGCUGGGUGCAGCCGGCAUGGGUGGGAGGCUGGUUCACACUCGAGCCUGGCCAUGCUGGCGUGCUGGAGUUCCCCACGGUUUGGCGUUUGACGGAAUUUCUGCUCCCCCCUUCCUGGCUCUUUGCAGAGAGAACACACUUUGUUGUGUGCAUAUGUUGGCCUUCCCAUGGCACCAGCUUCUUCAGCUCUGUGUCUGGGACCUGUGAGGCUAAGAGAAUGCCCAGGGGUCCCCGCCGACUGGCUCCUUGGGCUGGGCGCAGCCCUUCUGUCGUUGUACCUUUGUUUAGUGCAUCCAAGCUUUUCAGCUGCCCUUAGCAGGAGGAACAGGGAAAGUACGUGGACCUGGAGUGGAGACCAUGGCCAUUCACUUCUACAGGAGGGAGAGCGGACUCAGGAUUGGUGAGAACUGGACGUCUUGAAAGUGGCGAAUGGCUUGGCUGGCAGAUUGCGGCCUAGAAGAGGCAAGACUGGGAACCUGGGACAAAGCGGCACCAGCUGCAGGGACCACGAGGACCCAGGUCACUGCCAGAUAAGGGACCACGUGUGGACCCAGGGCUCCCUGUGGCCUCGUUCGCUGCUCCGUGUCUAGUGCAGAUGCUGUGGGGCCUGCUGGCCUCGGAGGGCUCUGACCUGAGCGGAGCUGGUGCAGGCAGAAGGGAAGCUGACGGGACCAGUGCUGGCUCUGUCAACACCUCCGACUCCAGGUUGUCCUCUGCUUUCACAGGUGACCUUGAGUGACCGCUGGGGGCUCCGACUCAGUGGCUGGGGCUUGUGAGGCCAGGACCUGUGCCACCCGCUCACCCUGUGCCACCCACCUUGGGGAGAUGGGGCGCGGGGGCUGACGCCCUGCAGAUGCAGGCUGACGGGGCUCCUCAGAAGGGCCUCUGGGACCUCGCACAGCCACCGCCAUGGUGGGCCAGGCUGUAAGGCGCCGUCCGUCCUCUCUUCCACCCCUGCGCCAGGCGCCCGUGCUCCCAGCUCCUUGCGGGGUGUGAGGCCGAGCGAAGGCCCCGGCUCUGCCACUGCAGAUUCCACAGCUGCUCCUGGCGCAGACGCUGGUGGUUUCGGACUUGGGAUUUCAGAGGCUGGCGUGAGGAGGGAGCCAGGCGUCGCUGGCAGCUACCUUGCUCUGCAGCCAGGGAAUGCCGCAGCUGGAUGCGCAUCGCAUUGCGAGAGACGGGGGUACUGAGAACCUACCGCAGAAGGCGUCUCAGAAUCAGAGUUCCUCCCAGGCAGCCAGCGCCGGGUUGCACGGUGUUCCCACUCUCACAGCAACAGCAUUUGGGAAGCUGGAGACCCUGCUCCCCCAGCCAACCCAGUGCCCAGCCCUGUCCCCUGGCUCCCCGUGCCCCUGGGUCUCAGAGGGAGCCUGGGCCACAGCCCUCACCUCGGUGUCACCCCAGAUGCCAUGCUGGAACUGCCAGCCUUGGCAUGGGGACCUGUCUUUGGGGUAUGAUGCAUCCCGACUUCUUUGGGGUUGCACAGCCUCUCAUUUUCCACAGGUGAUCGAGUGCUGAUGUUGUUAAGGCCCACAAAUGGAUAGGGUGCAGAGACCAAGCCACCCCCUGAGACGUCAGAGGGGACACAAGAGAAUGGGGUGCACAGGCCUGGCCUUGAGGUCACGCCCUCCCCCUGACACUCCCUGUGCAGGAGCCACAGGACUUGCCUAGUGGGGUACAGGGGACGCCUGCUCCAGACCACCCUUGACUCCAGGGGAGAGGGACAGCGGCCCCAUAGUCAUUUCAGGGACAGACACAGAGACCAGGAGGACUGGACGAGUGAGAGGAAGGAUGCCGAGUGAGAAGAGGCAUCAGAGAAAGAGGAGGGGAUGGCCUGUCUCCAAGGAGAAGCCUCCACGGCAGCGAGGCGGGCAGUCACCAGGGGGAGAAGGACAGAGAGGGCUGCAUCUCGGGCUCCUGCUCAGCCCAGCCCUGGAGGCCAUGGCAGCGGGGUGCAGAAGCAGCAGGCCUGGUCUCAGCCCCAUGUUUGUCUGCUUGUGUGGGAGGGCCGGGUGAACCCAUCCUGAGAGUGCUCUGCCUGGCGUUAGCAGACCCCUGCCCGUGUGGCCCCUCCUGUCUCCCUCCCUAUUGCCCGAUGGAGCCCUCUUCCUCCUGGCCUCUCAUUUUAUGACUCAGAAACGAGGAAGUCCAGAAAUAACCAACUGUAUUUUCUUAGACUCUGAAGAGAUCUUGUUUGUAGAGAAACUCUUUAAUUUAGGAUUUUCACUUGAAUCUACAUGGUGUGGGCCCUUUCGCCCUCGAUCCCCUGAAAGUCUAGCCUUGGAGACGGCCUGCCUUAUGCUGUAAUCCUUGAGAGUUUUAUGUG